GUGCACAAAGACCAAUGUAGAUGAGAACCUCAUCUGUGCUUCAGUCAACCAGUCACACCUUCAAAAAACACUGGAAUCGGACACUUUAUCUGCAGUCCUGUGCAACUUUACCAUUGCUGAAUAUGCCUGUUCUUCUG
Molecule: long non-coding RNA, 137 nt
Organism: Oryzias melastigma (Indian medaka)
Lineage: Eukaryota; Metazoa; Chordata; Actinopteri; Beloniformes; Adrianichthyidae
Exons: 3
Source: RefSeq, a predicted model, not a curated record